RNAcentral lists this ribosomal RNA (229 nucleotides) under uncultured bacterium. RNAcentral describes it as "partial 16S ribosomal RNA". It matches the Rfam family "Bacterial small subunit ribosomal RNA", at positions 568 to 796 of the family's 1533-position model. The record is from RNAcentral.
CACGCAGGCGGUCCUGUCAGUCAGAUGUGAAAGCCCGGGGCUCAACCCCGGACGUGCAUUUGAAACAGCAGGACUUGAGUAUGGGAGAGGAAAGGGGAAUUCCUGGUGUAGAGGUGAAGUUCGUAGAUAUCAGGAGGAACACCGGUGGCGAAGGCGCCUUUCUGGACCAAUACUGACGCUGAGGUGCGAAGGCGUGGGUAGCGAACAGGAUUAGAUACCCUGGUAGUCC